ACGGCUUCCAUUUCUACCAAAUUCACUAAGAAAAUUCUUUUCUUUUGAAAAAAAUUAAGCAAUAGCUUAUACUGCAUCUUCUACUCCAAAAUGGGAAGGUCUCCUUGCUGUGAAAAAGCUCAUACAAAUAAAGGUGCAUGGACCAAAGAAGAAGAUGAUCGCCUUAUUGCUUAUAUUAGAGCUCAUGGUGAAGGUUGCUGGCGUUCUCUUCCCAAAGCUGCAGGCCUUCUUAGAUGUGGCAAAAGUUGCAGACUCCGUUGGAUCAACUAUCUAAGACCUGACCUUAAACGUGGCAAUUUUACCGAAGAAGAAGAUGAACUCAUUAUCAAACUGCACAGCCUCCUUGGCAACAAAUGGUCUCUUAUAGCUGGGAGAUUACCAGGAAGAACAGAUAAUGAGAUAAAGAAUUAUUGGAACACACAUAUAAGAAGAAAGCUUUUGAGCAGAGGAAUAGAUCCUGCAACCCACAGGCCACUUAACGAGCCGGCACAGGAAGCAGCAGCAAAGACGACGACAAAAACAAUAUCUUUCAGCCACGUUAAAGAAGAAAAAGACAAGAUUAGCUGCACAACUACAGUUGUAUGUAAAGAAGGAAAAAACCCAAUUCAAGAAAGGUGUCCAGACUUGAAUCUUGAGCUUAAAAUCAGCCUUCCAUAUCAAAGCCAGCAGCCAGAGCCGAUGAAAACUGGAGCGAGAGGUCUUUGUUUUGCUUGCAGGCUGGGGCUACAAAACAGCAAAGACUGCAGUUGCAAUUUGGGUCCUAGUAUUGGAAGCAGUAGUAGCAGUAGCAACUCUGGCUAUGACUUCUUAGCCAUGAAAAGUGGUGUUUUGGACUAUAGAAGCCUGGAAAUGAAAUAAGAUAUGGAACUAUUCUUGAUCUUGUAGAAGAAAAGAAAUGGAGAGAAAUGAGAAAGGGAUUGCUAUUAGAUUGAAAAUCUCUCUAAUUUCUCUUAUUUUUCUUUAAUCUGUAUGAUUAUUAGAGCAUAAAUU
Molecule: unclassified non-coding RNA, 990 nt
Filed under: Hevea brasiliensis (rubber tree)
Lineage: Eukaryota; Viridiplantae; Streptophyta; Magnoliopsida; Malpighiales; Euphorbiaceae
Source: RNAcentral